Molecule: small nuclear RNA, 128 nt
Gene: U2
Rfam family: U2 spliceosomal RNA
About the family: U2 is a small nuclear RNA (snRNA) component of the spliceosome (involved in pre-mRNA splicing).
Source: Ensembl
AUCUCUUCUCGGCCUUUUGGCUACGAUCGAGUGUAGUAUCUGUUCUUAUCAGUUUAAAUGAGCCUCUUUAAAUCCAGAUUUCUUUAUAUAUUUUAGUGUUUGCAUUCCUAAGAUGAAUUAAACGCUUU